AGGACGAACGCUGGCGGCGUGCUUAACACAUGCAAGUCGAGCGGAAAGGCCCUUCGGGGUACUCGAGCGGCGAACGGGUGAGUAACACGUGAGUAACCUGCCCUGAACUUUGGGAUAACCCUCGGAAACGGGGGCUAAUACCGAAUAUUACUGCCGGUCGCAUGGUUGGUGGUGGAAAGUUUUUCGGUUUGGGAUGGACUCGCGGCCUAUCAGCUUGUUGGUGAGGUAAUGGCUCACCAAGGCGAGGACGGGUAG
RNAcentral lists this ribosomal RNA (255 nucleotides) under uncultured bacterium. RNAcentral's name for it is "partial small subunit ribosomal RNA". It matches the Rfam family "Bacterial small subunit ribosomal RNA", at positions 26 to 286 of the family's 1533-position model. The record is from RNAcentral.